CUUGCACGUUUCCAAAAGAUUCAGUCAGAGAAUCUUUGCCUUGGACGGAUACUCCAUAGGAGAAAACAGGAGAAAGUUGACACUUAACUCCCACAGAGUACCAGCAUAAAGACAAUGGCUUUAAGAGUCUGACUCAGAGUUUCAACAUGAAAGGUUUGCUUUAUAGAGGAAACGCCAAUCCCAGUCCAUCCAGAUAGACCUGGAACCUGAUGAAAGUCGACACCUUUAUUCUGAAAUUUGCAUCACAUCGCUGGCUCCAGUUUAGAAACAUGAUCGUUUCACAGGUAGUAUGCAUUUCAGCGAAUGCUGCCUCUAAACUACCCGUCAGGAAAAAUAAAAUCUAUAAGGUAAUCGUAGUCUAGGAGCCAUCAAUCCCCAAAUGCUUCUCUUAGAAAACGAAUGCCAACAAUUUAGCUAAACAUCUUCCUUGGAAGUGAGCCAUUUCCCAUGUCUCUCUGUUCUCCAAACCGCGAUGAAAUUUCAACCUGCCCAACACGAUUACUGGUCCACCUAGAAAUGCCGUGGAGCGAUUUAAGAGCCUCGGAAAUUUCCUUUAAGGUCAGGAGAGAAGCUGGUAACAGAUGGGGCGAAGGAGGAAAAGUUCUUUUUGCGGCACCCUCACGCCUUCCCAGCCCUUUCGCGGUUUACUCGCUCCCCGGAAAGCAGGGCAUUCAAGCAGCCCUGAGGAGAGGUCCACAUGGUGAGCCACUGAGGGCCUUGCCAAGAGCCAGCACCAACGGUCCAGGUUUGGAGUGUACCACCUUGGAAGUGAAUCUUCCAGUCCAGUCAAGCCUUCAGAUGACUUCAGAACCGUCCAUGUAAGCCACUCUUGGAUUCCUGACCCACAGAAACUGUUGGAGAACAUCACCUGUAGUCUUGCCAGUGAGAUCAAACUGAAGUCCAAUUAACCUCUGGAUCCAGCUGCCAAUUUGCAGGAAAUAGAGGAGAGAAGCAUCUGUUGAACUGCACCAUGAGUAUACACUCAGCAAAGGCCAAACUGUGGAAAAUGAUACAGGUCAAACAGCCUGGAUUCUUUAACAGUAAGUGAUGUUUCUGAAGCACCAAUGAAAAUGAAGUCCUGAAGUCCUGUGCUCAAUAUGAAAUGUUGGAAGUUAGAAGAAAAAAACAAAACUUGGAUCCAAUCUCAAGGCACUUUUUGUUUAAUGGGAAGAAGUGGAUUAUUUUAAAAGCUACAAAUAAAGUUACAUAAAAGUAGCAAAGUUGAUA
RNAcentral lists this long non-coding RNA (1227 nucleotides) under Homo sapiens (human). RNAcentral's name for it is "HSALNT0377837". Lineage: Eukaryota; Metazoa; Chordata; Mammalia; Primates; Hominidae. The record is from RNAcentral.